AACGAACGCUGGCGGCAUGCCUAACACAUGCAAGUCGAACGAAGGCUUCGGCCUUAGUGGCGCACGGGUGCGUAACGCGUGGGAAUCUGCCCCUAGGUACGGAAUAACAGCGAGAAAUUGCUGCUAAUACCGUAUGAUGACGAAAGUCCAAAGAUUUAUCGCCUAGGGAUGAGCCCGCGUAGGAUUAGCUUGUUGGUGAGGUAAAAGCUCACCAAGGCGACGAUCCUUAGCUGGUCUGAGAGGAUGAUCAGCCACACUGGGACUGAGACACGGCCCAGACUCCUACGGGAGGCAGCAGUGGGGAAUAUUGGACAAUGGGCGAAAGCCUGAUCCAGCAAUGCCGCGUGAGUGAUGAAGGCCUUAGGGUUGUAAAGCUCUUUUACCCGGGAAGAUAAUGACUGUACCGGGAGAAUAAGCCCCGGCUAACUCCGUGCCAGCCGCCGCCGUAA
Molecule: ribosomal RNA, 449 nt
Filed under: uncultured bacterium
Lineage: Bacteria
Description: partial 16S ribosomal RNA
Rfam family: Bacterial small subunit ribosomal RNA
Source: RNAcentral